GACGAACGCUGGCGGCGUGCUUAACACAUGCAAGUCGAACGGAAAGACCCUGCUUUUGUGGGGUGCUCGAGUGGCGAACGGGUGAGUAACACGUGAGUAACCUGCCCUUGACUUUGGGAUAACUUCAGGAAACUGGGGCUAAUACCGGAUAGGAGCUCCUGCUGCAUGGUGGGGGUUGGAAAGUUUCGGCGGUUGGGGAUGGACUCGCGGCUUAUCAGCUUGUUGGUGGGGUAGUGGCUUACCAAGGCUUUGACGGGUAGCCGGCCUGAGAGGGUGACCGGCCACAUUGGGGCUGAGAUACGGCCCAGACUCCUACGGGAGGCAGCAGUGGGGAAUAUUGCACAAUGGGCGGAAGCCUGAUGCAGCAACGCCGCGUGCGGGAUGACGGCCUUCGGGUUGUAAACCGCUUUCGCCUGUGACGAAGCGUGAGUGACGGUAAUGGGUAAAGAAGCACCGGCUAACUACGUG
This 468-nucleotide ribosomal RNA is filed under the name uncultured bacterium. Its description in RNAcentral is "partial 16S ribosomal RNA". It matches the Rfam family "Bacterial small subunit ribosomal RNA", at positions 28 to 507 of the family's 1533-position model. The record is from RNAcentral.